GACCGCGUAGCUCAGUUGGAAGAGCAUUGGGCUAGUAUUCCAAAGGUCGUAGGUUCGAAUCCCGCGGUGGCCA
Non-coding RNA from Paramuricea clavata, 73 nucleotides. The record is from the annotation of a GenBank genome assembly. Lineage: Eukaryota; Metazoa; Cnidaria; Anthozoa; Malacalcyonacea; Plexauridae.